This 410-nucleotide ribosomal RNA is filed under the name uncultured microorganism. Its description in RNAcentral is "bacterial SSU rRNA". It matches the Rfam family "Bacterial small subunit ribosomal RNA", at positions 509 to 917 of the family's 1533-position model. The record is from RNAcentral.
CAGCCGCCGCGGUAAUACGUAGGUGGCAAGCGUUGUCCGGAAUUAUUGGGCGUAAAGCGCGCGCAGGCGGUUCCUUAAGUCUGAUGUGAAAUCUCGCGGCUCAACCGCGAGCGGCCAUUGGAAAAUGGGGAACUUGAGUGCAGGAGAGGGGAGCGGAAUUCCACGUGUAGCGGUGAAAUGCGUAGAGAUGUGGAGGAACACCAGUGGCGAAGGCGGCUCUCUGGCCUGUAACUGACGCUGAGGCGCGAAAGCGUGGGGAGCGAACAGGAUUAGAUACCCUGGUAGUCCACGCCGUAAACGAUGAGUGCUAAGUGUUAGAGGGUAUCCACCCUUUAGUGCUGCAGCAAACGCAUUAAGCACUCCGCCUGGGGAGUACGGCCGCAAGGCUGAAACUUAAAGGAAUUGGCGGG